This 497-nucleotide ribosomal RNA is filed under the name uncultured bacterium. RNAcentral describes it as "partial 16S ribosomal RNA". It matches the Rfam family "Bacterial small subunit ribosomal RNA", at positions 28 to 507 of the family's 1533-position model. The record is from RNAcentral.
GAUGAACGCUGGCGGCGUGCCUAAUACAUGCAAGUCGAGCGAACGGACGAGAAGCUUGCUUCUCUGAUGUUAGCGGCGGACGGGUGAGUAACACGUGGAUAACCUACCUAUAAGACUGGGAUAACUUCGGGAAACCGUAGCUAAUACCGGAUAAUAUUUUGAACCGCAUGGUUCAAAAGUGAAAGACGUUCUUGCUGUCACUUAUAGAUGGAUCCGCGCUGCAUUAGCUAGUUGGUAAGGUAACGGCUUACCAAGGCAACGAUGCAUAGCCGACCUGAGGGGGUGAUCAGCCACACUGGAACUGAGACACGGUCCAGACUCCUACGGGAGGCAGCAGUAGGGAAUCUUCCGCAAUGGGCGAAAGCCUGACGGAGCAACGCCGCGUGAGUGAUGAAGGUCUUCGGAUCGUAAAACUCUGUUAUUAGGGAAGAACAUAUGUGUAAGUAACUGUGCACAUCUUGACGGUACCUAAUCAGAAAGCCACGGCUAACUACGUG